Molecule: long non-coding RNA, 1109 nt
Organism: Salvelinus fontinalis (brook trout)
Lineage: Eukaryota; Metazoa; Chordata; Actinopteri; Salmoniformes; Salmonidae
Exons: 13
Source: RefSeq, a predicted model, not a curated record
GGUUAACCACCUAGCAGGGGACAGGAACAGGUUAACCACCUAGCAGGAGACAGAACAGGUUAACCACCUAGCAGGGGACAGGAACAGGUUAACCACCUAGCAGGAGACAGGAACAGGUUAACCACCUAGCAGGAGACAGGAACAGGUUAACCACCUAGCAGGAGACAGAACAGGUUAACCACCUAGCAGGAGACAGAACAGGUUAACCACCUAGCAGGAGACAGGAACAGGUUAACCACCUAGCAGGAGACAGGAACAGGUUAACCACCUAGCAGGAGACAGGAACAGGUUAACCACCUAGCAGGGGACAGGAACAGGUUAACCACCUAGCAGGAGACAGAACAGGUUAACCACCUAGCAGGAGACAGAACAGGUUAACCACCUAGCAGGAGACAGGAACAGGUUAACCACCUAGCAGGAGACAGGAACAGGUUAACCACCUAGCAGGAGACAGGAACAGGUUAACCACCUAGCAGGAGACAGGAACAGGUUAACCACCUAGCAGGAGACAGGAACAGGUUAACCACCUAGCAGGAGACAGAACAGGUUAACCACCUAGCAGGAGACAGGAACAGGUUAACCACCUAGCAGGAGACAGAACAGGUUAACCACCUAGCAGGAGACAGGAACAGGUUAACCACCUAGCAGGGGACAGGAACAGGUUAACCACCUAGCAGGAGACAGGAACAGGUUAACCACCUAGCAGGGGACAGGAACAGGUUAACCACCUAGCAGGAGACAGGAACAGGUUAACCACCUAGCAGGAGACAGGAACAGGUUAACCACCUAGCAGGGGACAGGAACAGGUUAACCACCUAGCAGGGGACAGGAACAGGUUAACCACCUAGCAGGAGACAGGAACAGGUUAACCACCUAGCAGGGGACAGGAACAGGUUAACCACCUAGCAGGAGACAGGAACAGGUUAACCACCUAGCAGGGGACAGGAACAGGUUAACCACCUAGCAGGGGACAGGAACAGGUUAACCACCUAGCAGGAGACAGGAACAGGUUAACCACCUAGCAGGAGACAGAACAGGUUAACCACCUAGCAGGGGACAGGAACAGGUUAACCACCUAGCAGGAGACAGGAACAGGUUAACCACCUAGC